UACGAGGGGGGCAAGCGUUGUUCGGAAUUAUUGGGCGUAAAGGGCGCGUAGGCGGUGCGGUAAGUCUGAUGUGAAAUCUCCGGGCUCAACUCGGAGUCUGCAUCAGAGACUGCCGUGCUCGAGUGUGGGAGAGGUGAGUGGAAUUCCCGGUGUAGCGGUGAAAUGCGUAGAGAUCGGGAGGAACACCAGAGGCGAAAGCGGCGACCUGGACAGGUACUGACACUCAACUGCGAAAGCGUGGGGAGCAAACAGG
RNAcentral lists this ribosomal RNA (253 nucleotides) under uncultured bacterium. RNAcentral describes it as "partial 16S ribosomal RNA". It matches the Rfam family "Bacterial small subunit ribosomal RNA", at positions 524 to 776 of the family's 1533-position model. The record is from RNAcentral.